This is a non-coding RNA of Acanthosepion pharaonis, 109 nucleotides long. Lineage: Eukaryota; Metazoa; Mollusca; Cephalopoda; Sepiida; Sepiidae. The record is from the annotation of a GenBank genome assembly.
UUACGGCCAUAUCACGAUGAAACACCGGUUCCCGCACGAUCACCGAAGUUCAGCAACGUCGAGCUUGGUCAGUACUUAGAUGGGUGACCUCUUGGGAAUACCAGAUGCU